This 492-nucleotide ribosomal RNA is filed under the name uncultured bacterium. Its description in RNAcentral is "partial 16S ribosomal RNA". It matches the Rfam family "Bacterial small subunit ribosomal RNA", at positions 29 to 507 of the family's 1533-position model. The record is from RNAcentral.
AGUGAACGCUGGCGGUAGGCCUAACACAUGCAAGUCGAACGGCAGCACAGUAAGAGCUUGCUCUUACGGGUGGCGAGUGGCGGACGGGUGAGGAAUACAUCGGAAUCUACUUUUUCGUGGGGGAUAACGUAGGGAAACUUACGCUAAUACCGCAUACGACCUACGGGUGAAAGCAGGGGAUCUUCGGACCUUGCGCGAUUGAAUGCGCCGAUGUCGGAUUAGCUAGUUGGCGGGGUAAAGGCCCACCAAGGCGACGAUCCGUAGCUGGUCUGAGAGGAUGAUCAGCGACACUGGAACUGAGACACGGUCCAGACUCCUACGGGAGGCAGCAGUGGGGAAUAUUGGACAAUGGGCGCAAGCCUGAUCCAGCCAUACCGCGUGGGUGAAGAAGGCCUUCGGGUUGUAAAGCCCUUUUGUUGGGAAAGAAAAGCAGCAGGUUAAUACCCCGCUGUUCUGACGGUAGCCAAAGAAUAAGCACCGGCUAACUUCGUG